This 86-nucleotide transfer RNA is filed under the name Francisella salina. RNAcentral describes it as "tRNA-Leu (GAG) (tRNA-Leu-GAG-1-1)". It matches the Rfam family "tRNA". Rfam says of the family: Transfer RNA (tRNA) molecules are approximately 80 nucleotides in length. Their secondary structure includes four short double-helical elements and three loops (D, anti-codon, and T loops). Further hydrogen bonds mediate the characteristic L-shaped molecular structure. tRNAs have two regions of fundamental functional importance: the anti-codon, which is responsible for specific mRNA codon recognition, and the 3' end, to which the tRNAs corresponding amino acid is attached (by aminoacyl-tRNA synthetases). tRNAs cope with the degeneracy of the genetic code in two manners: having more than one tRNA (with a specific anti-codon) for a particular amino acid; and 'wobble' base-pairing, i.e. permitting non-standard base-pairing at the 3rd anti-codon position. The record is from RNAcentral. RNAcentral also lists the same sequence under 2 other names. Lineage: Bacteria; Pseudomonadati; Pseudomonadota; Gammaproteobacteria; Thiotrichales; Francisellaceae.
GCACCGGUGGUGGAAUUGGUAGACACGCCAUCUUGAGGGGGUGGUGUCCGAAGGACGUGCGAGUUCAAAUCUCGCUCGGUGCACCA